UACAGUGGGAGUAGUUUAUAUAAAACACUAGGUUGUGACCCUAGUAAAAAGAAACUGACUUUCUUCACCCACC
RNAcentral lists this transfer RNA (73 nucleotides) under Uroplatus kelirambo. RNAcentral describes it as "tRNA-His". The record is from RNAcentral. Lineage: Eukaryota; Metazoa; Chordata; Lepidosauria; Squamata; Gekkonidae.